UGCGUAAAGCGUCCGUAGCCGGCUUUGUAAGUUUUCGGUUAAAUCUAUAUGCUCAACAUAUAGGCUGCCGGAAAUACUGUAAAGCUAGGGAGUGGGAGAGGUAGACGGUACUCCGUAGGAAGGGGUAAAAUCCUUUGAUCUAUGGAUGACCACCAGUGGCGAAGGCGGUCUACCAGAACACGUUCGACGGUGAGGGAUGAAAGCUGGGGGAGCAAACCGGAUUAGAUACCCGGGUAGUCCCAGCUGUAAACUAUGCAAACUCAGUGAUGCAUUGGCUUGUGGCCAGUGCAGUGCCGCAGAGAAGUCGUUAAGUUUGCCGCCUGGGAAGUACGUACGCAAGUAUGAAACUUAAAGGAAUUGGCGGGGGAGCACCACAAGGGGUGAAGCCUGCGGUUCAAUUGGAGUCAACGCCAGAAAUCUUACCCGGAGAGACAGCAGGAUGAAGGUCAAGCUGAAGACUUUACCAGACAAGCUGAGAAGUGGUGCAUGGCCGUCGCCAGCUCGUGCCGUGAGGUGUCCUGUUAAGUCAGGUAACGAGCGAGAUCCUUGCCUCUAGUUGCUACCAUUACUCUCAGGAGUAGUGGAGCGAAUUAGCGGGACUGCCGUAGUUAAUACGGAGGAAGGAGAGGGCCACGGCAGGUCAGUAUGCCCCGAA
This 655-nucleotide ribosomal RNA is filed under the name uncultured archaeon. RNAcentral describes it as "bacterial SSU rRNA". It matches the Rfam family "Archaeal small subunit ribosomal RNA", at positions 507 to 1160 of the family's 1478-position model. The record is from RNAcentral.